This 295-nucleotide unclassified non-coding RNA is filed under the name fungal sp. RNAcentral's name for it is "partial internal transcribed spacer region". The stretch from base 1 to 46 matches the Rfam family "Eukaryotic small subunit ribosomal RNA", at positions 1786 to 1831 of the family's 1831-position model. Lineage: Eukaryota; Fungi. The record is from RNAcentral.
AAGUCGUAACAAGGUUUCCGUAGGUGAACCUGCGGAAGGAUCAUUAUCACGUAUCCACGUAUAAACCAUUGUGAACCGUUCUAUUACCUUUGUUUGUGUAAAUGAAUGAAAUUGAUGUGUUCUCUCCGGAGUCGCAUCGAUGGAGUUUAUUUUCCGCAAAGUGUAUUAACUUUAUAUUAACCAUUAUAACCCAAUCUUUAUAACUUUUAUGAACUAAUUUUUAUUUUAUACUCUUCGGAGAUAAAAUUCAUUACGAAACAAAGAACAACUCUUAGCAACGGAUAUCUUGGUUCUC